GGCGGCGUGCUUAACACAUGCAAGUCGAACGAGAAAGGGAUUGCUUGCAAUCCUGAGUAGAGUGGCGCACGGGUGAGUAACACGUAGAUAAUCUACCUUCGAUUUUGGGAUAACCAUCCGAAAGGGUGGCUAAUACCGGAUAAGGUUUUAAUACGCAAGUAUAAAGAUGAAAGUAUGCCUCUUCUUGAAAGCAUAUGAUUGGAGAUGAGUCUGCGGACCAUUAGUUUGUUGGUAGGGUAAUGGCCUACCAAGACUACGAUGGUUAGCUGGUCUGAGAGGAUGAUCAGUCACACUGGAACUGGAACACGGUCCAGACUCCUACGGGAGGCAGCAGUGAGGAAUUUUGCGCAAUGGGGUAACCCCUGACGCAGCAACGCCGCGUGAGUGAAGAAGGCCUUUGGGUCGUAAAGCUCUGUCAACUGGGAAGAAGUUACAACGAUCUAAUAGGUAGUUGUAUUGACGGUACCAGUGGAGGAAGCGCCGGCUAACUCCGUGCCAGCAGCCGCGGUAACACGGGGGGCGCAAGCGUUAUUCGGAAUUAUUGGGCGUAAAGGGCGUGUAGGCGGUCUUAUCGGUCAGAUGUGAAAGCCCAGGGCUCAACCCUGGACGUGCAUUUGAAACAGUAAGACUUGAGUACUGGAGAGGAAAGCGGAAUUCCUGGUGUAGAGGUGAAAUUCGUAGAUAUCAGGAGGAACACCGA
This 700-nucleotide ribosomal RNA is filed under the name uncultured bacterium. Its description in RNAcentral is "bacterial SSU rRNA". It matches the Rfam family "Bacterial small subunit ribosomal RNA", at positions 38 to 712 of the family's 1533-position model. The record is from RNAcentral.